CAAACAGUAUUAUUUUUAAAGCUUAUAUACUAGCAUCCAGGUUCAUUUAAGAGAAAAAUUAAAAAUUCUGCAAAAGCCAAGGCUUGAACCCAGGCUUCUCCAACACUCCCAAAUCACUUAGUCAUUAAAGCAAACAAGCAAUUUGUGCCAUAACAUGCAUAAAUUAAUAACUUAUAUUUUGGGGCGUUACAACUCUACCCCCUUAAUGAAAUUUUGGCCUCGAAAUUUACCUGGUCAGAAUAGAUG
This 246-nucleotide long non-coding RNA is filed under the name Gossypium raimondii (Peruvian cotton). RNAcentral's name for it is "long non-coding RNA (GRAI_LNC006474)". Lineage: Eukaryota; Viridiplantae; Streptophyta; Magnoliopsida; Malvales; Malvaceae. The record is from RNAcentral.